Molecule: non-coding RNA, 135 nt
Organism: Triticum aestivum (bread wheat)
Lineage: Eukaryota; Viridiplantae; Streptophyta; Magnoliopsida; Poales; Poaceae
Source: Rfam
AAUAUACUCCCCCCGUUCCAAAUUUUUUGUCUUAGAUUUGUCUAGAUACGGAUAUGCCUAAUACUAAAACAUGACUUGAUACAUCCGUCUCUAGACAAAUCUAAGACAAGAAUUUUGGGAUAGAGGGAGUAUAAA